UUACCACUUUGUGAUUCAUGACUGGGGUGAAGUCGUAACAAGGUAACCGUAGGGGAACCUGCGGUUGGAUCACCUCCUUACCU
RNAcentral lists this ribosomal RNA (83 nucleotides) under Yersinia pseudotuberculosis. RNAcentral's name for it is "partial 16S ribosomal RNA". It matches the Rfam family "Bacterial small subunit ribosomal RNA", at positions 1454 to 1533 of the family's 1533-position model. The record is from RNAcentral. Lineage: Bacteria; Pseudomonadati; Pseudomonadota; Gammaproteobacteria; Enterobacterales; Yersiniaceae.